GAGGAUGCUGUUGAUCUUUGCUACUACCUUAAGGAUCCUCUUGGACCCUUUGCAUCCUGCCACAGUUAUGUUGACCCUGAUGACCACUAUGAUUCAUGUCUGUAUGAUGUAUGUGAGAUGGGUGAUGAUGCCCUGUGUGCGAGUCUAGAACAGUACGCCCAGGCCUGCAAGAGCAAGGGAGGGAACCCUGGAACCUGGAGAGUGCAUGUACCGGAAUGCCCAUUGGACUGUCCUUCCAACACUGUGUACGACCCCUGCUUCAGUGGCUGUCCAGCA
Strongylocentrotus purpuratus (purple sea urchin) is the source of this 276-nucleotide long non-coding RNA. RefSeq lists it as uncharacterized. The record is from RefSeq and is a predicted model, not a curated record. The transcript is spliced from 3 exons. NCBI's taxonomy places the organism in Eukaryota, Metazoa, Echinodermata, Echinoidea, Camarodonta, Strongylocentrotidae.